UUGAUUGGAUGGGUUCAUUUGACUCUAGAUGAGACAAUCAGCUUUCUAAAUAACAAUAGCAAGGAAAUUUUACUCACAAAAUACACACCAGUGAGGAAAUACAAUCUAACUGUGAUCCUUCGAAACCUAAAUCUACGGGAAAUAGCACCCUUGAUCUGGGAGCUUAGGCUAGUAAAAUGCAUACAAGAUUAUGGGUUAAAGGGAUGGGGAUCAGCUAGAAGGUGGAUGGGUGGUGGAGUAGGGUUUUUGUACCUCUUGGCGUUCAAGGCGGAGGCGGUGGCAGCAUGCCGAUGCAGGAGUCCGCGACUCAUCAGCGUCGCAGAUCGGCGAGGCAAGGGAUGGAGUCCUGGCGCUUAUCACCCCAAAGGCAGCCAUGUCCGGAAUGGGAUCGAGCAAUGCUUUACCUUGUCCGCAGCGUUGGUGGUGGUGGUGUCGAAGGCGAAGGCGACUCGCGACGCGGUCGGCGGGAGGCGCUCGCUGGAGAGGGGCGCGGGCGUUGGAGGCUUGUCGUGA
Molecule: long non-coding RNA, 513 nt
Filed under: Oryza sativa Indica Group (long-grained rice)
Lineage: Eukaryota; Viridiplantae; Streptophyta; Magnoliopsida; Poales; Poaceae
Description: lncRNA OsKYG_10g0020450
Source: RNAcentral